GACGAACGCUGGCGACGUGCCUAAUACAUACAAGUAGAACGCUGAAGGAGGAGCUUGCUUCUCUGGAUGAGUUGCGAACGGGUGAGUAACGCGUAGGUAACCUGCCUGGUAGCGGAGGAUAACUAUUGGAAACGAUAGCUAAUACCGCAUAAUAGUAGAUGUUGCAUGACAUUUGCUUAAAAGGUGCAAUUGCAUCACUACCAGAUGGACCUGCGUUGUAUUAGCUAGUUGGUGGGGUAACGGCUCACCAAGGCGACGAUACAUAGCCGACCUGAGAGGGUGAUCGGCCACACUGGGACUGAGACACGGCCCAGACUCCUACGGGAGGCAGCAGUAGGGAAUCUUCGGCAAUGGACGGAAGUCUGACCGAGCAACGCCGCGUGAGUGAAGAAGGUUUUCGGAUCGUAAAGCUCUGUUGUAAGAGAAGAACGAGUGUGAGAGUGGAAAGUUCACACUGUGACGGUAUCUUACCAGAAAGGGACGGCUAACUACGUGCCAGCAGCCGCGGUAAUACGUAGGUCCCGAGCGUUGUCCGGAUUUAUUGGGCGUAAAGCGAGCGCAGGCGGUUAGAUAAGUCUGAAGUUAAAGGCUGUGGCUUAACCAUAGUACGCUUUGGAAACUGCUUAACUUGAGUGCAAGAGGGGAGAGUGGAAUUCCAUGUGUAGCGGUGAAAUGCGUAGAUAUAUGGAGGAACACCGGUGGCGAAAGCGGCUCUCUGGCUUGUAACUGACGCUGAGGCUCGAAAGCGUGGGGAGCAAACAGG
This 763-nucleotide ribosomal RNA is filed under the name uncultured Streptococcus sp. RNAcentral's name for it is "bacterial SSU rRNA". It matches the Rfam family "Bacterial small subunit ribosomal RNA", at positions 28 to 776 of the family's 1533-position model. The record is from RNAcentral. Lineage: Bacteria; Bacillati; Bacillota; Bacilli; Lactobacillales; Streptococcaceae.